GAGACACACCUGUGUGGAGCAGGACUUGGUUCAGUGGGGCUUUGGUGCUCACUGAGUCUGCCCCUUGAGUGUGUCACU
Molecule: non-coding RNA, 78 nt
Organism: Myotis lucifugus (little brown bat)
Lineage: Eukaryota; Metazoa; Chordata; Mammalia; Chiroptera; Vespertilionidae
Source: Rfam